UCCUCUGUGGCGCAAUUGGCUAGCGCGUCUGACUGUUACUUCUACCCUUGCCUACCUACCUUCCGGAUAGGUAGUGAGUGUGAUGAGAGCAAUCAGGAGGUCGGAAGUCCGAGCCUCCCCGGAGGAG
This is a non-coding RNA of Rhypophila decipiens, 127 nucleotides long. The record is from the annotation of a GenBank genome assembly. Lineage: Eukaryota; Fungi; Ascomycota; Sordariomycetes; Sordariales; Naviculisporaceae.